GUCCCGGGCAAGUGUGCACACUGCCCCCUAGUGUGUGUGUGUGUGUGUGUGUGUGUGUGUGUGUUCACGAGUGUGUAUGUGGUGUUUCACUUCACGGUUGGGUUAAACGUGGAGGUGAAACUUCCCCGUUGGUGGACUAAUAAGGGUCUCUUAAUCUUAGUCCAUCUCUCUGCACGCUGGCCUUGCACACUUUAUCAGUAGUGGUCUUGAUUUUUGGCAUUUCCAGACUAAAAUAUCUCAAACCAGCAGCGAACAUCAUCUUCUCGCUCAGUUACAGACUGAGGUUGCCGUGGGCUCAUGGUAAGAUGUGGAAUGUCAUCAUCUGGAUCUCGUUACAUUGUUACGUCGGGUUCGUGGCCCAGCGCGAGCUGCGGACUGGGAUCUGGAUCGGUUAUUCAGGGACAAUGUACAAACUUCACUGUAUCUGCAUCACUGACCAAUAAGUGUGUGUUGUUUUUAAAAAAAAAAAAGUCCCGUCUGAACUUCAAUCUCAGGAAGUGUUGACCAGGAAUUGGUGCUGGACCUUCAGCGAGGGGACUUUCCUUCAGGAGAGUGUGUGUGUGUGUGUGUGUGUGUGUGUGUGUGUAGAGCUGGGCGAUAUGACGAAGCGUAAUAUCACAAUACUUCCAGAUAUUUUUAUGAUGCGCAGUGUUUAAUUUUAUCUGGUCAGCUGGAACAGAAAGUAGUGCCAAGUUUAAAAUAUUAUUAAAAAUGAUGAGUGCAGUUAUUCUAUAGCUCUAUACAUGAUACUGAAUCACUGGCUGUGUGUGUGUGUGUGUGUGUGCGCGUGUGUGUGUGUGUGUACGUAUGUAUAACCUCUUUAAAGUGACCCACUUGUGGGCCUUUAGGGAGAACGCCCAAGUGUCCCACUCUCCGUGUGUGUGUGUGUGUGUGUGUGUGUGUGUGUCUCUGUCUGUCUGUCUGUCUGUCUGUCUGUCUGUCUGUCUGUCUGUCUGUCUGUCUGUGUAAUAGUUGUUGUCCUUCUUGGCUCUGAUCCAGAUAUUCCAGGCGUGUGUGUUUAGUGAGUUUAGUUACAAGUUUGAGUUAGUGACUGGUCAGAGUCUCUCUCUCUCUCUCUCUCUCUCUCUCUCUCUCUCUCUCUCUCUCUCUCUCUCUCUCUCUCUCUCUCUCUCUCUCUCUCUCUCUGAUCUCACAGAGGUGUGGACGCUCAGUCUGGUCUGAGCUCAGCUGAGAGCGUGUGUGUGCGUGUGUGUGUGGAGACACGGAGAUAGGGAAGCGUCCGAGUAUGGAAUUAAACUCUAAACGGAUUUUACUGUCCAGAACGGAGAUCAGGAGGAGAGUCCAGUAGCCGCCCGGAGGCUUUAAAGGUAAGACAGUUUAUUAGUUAUUGACCUGCCGGUGUUUCCAGUGUGUGGACUGAUCGGUUACGGUCUGUAAUCUUAUCAGAUUACAGGGGAAUUGGGCGUAAAUCUCUGAGCUGAUUCACUGCAAUUAUGAUUCUGUGGGAAAGGACUCAAAGAAUCGUUAUAAGAUCAAAUGAUUCGAUUUGCUUAUUUUGGUAGGAAUCAGUGACUUGUUUAAAGUACCGUGGGAUUUCAGGCGGGGGCUGGGGGGACAUGGUUACGCAGUAUUGGAAUAUACUCAGUUGUAGAAUUUAUUGA
Long non-coding RNA from Pygocentrus nattereri (red-bellied piranha), 1622 nucleotides. The record is from Ensembl. NCBI's taxonomy places the organism in Eukaryota, Metazoa, Chordata, Actinopteri, Characiformes, Serrasalmidae.